Molecule: long non-coding RNA, 1075 nt
Organism: Coregonus clupeaformis (lake whitefish)
Lineage: Eukaryota; Metazoa; Chordata; Actinopteri; Salmoniformes; Salmonidae
Exons: 2
Source: RefSeq, a predicted model, not a curated record
GUCAAUUUCACGGUAUUGAUAUAUAACGCAUACUCCACUCUCAAGUGGAAGUGGAACUUGUUGACUGAUGCCAAGGCAGCUGCUAAGAAGGGAGCAGCUGCGGGCCAGAAGACUACAGCCAAGGCAGCACUGGUCCACACCUGCCCUGUCUAUCGGGAAAGUGGUGUUGGUUGGUACUGUAUGUGCCUUUAGGUUCCUCUCCAUGUGUCGGCUAUUGUACUAGCCUGUGUGGUACAGUCUUUCAUAUGUGUAGUAGUGUGUUUCAUCAUAUUGCUUAGUUUAUCAUUUGUGUUCACUUUGAAUUCAAUCUAAACCACAGAUUAACUUCCUCCAUUUUGUCUUUCACCUUUAUAGAUGCAGACCUGAAGACAUUCAAGCAGCACUUUGAGAGCAAGCAUCCCAAGUCUCCAAUGGUCCCAGUACUGGUUGAUGUGUAGGCCUAAGUGACCACACACUCAAAUGGACCUACAGCUGGGACACAAAUUGACCACGAUUUGAAUGCUGCAACUGUGACGGAAUGAUGUCGAGGGACACACGCUGAGACCCCGCGUAUAACUGGACAUGGGCUGGAUAUUUGUGGCAACAACCUAUAAGGGAUGCAGAAGCACACCAGCACCCAAUUUGAUGUUUAUUCCAUGGCCAACCAUCCCUCUAGCUACCCCUUAUUCCACACUGCCUUUUAUGCCCCAUGGUCCCUCAACUUCGGACACUUUGGAACUCUCCAUCUUAUCUACCUUCACCCAUUUUCCCUACGCUGCUUCCUUCACUUGUUCUUCUCCUGAUUUGAUAACAUCUAGACUCAGUAACACAUUUUAAAAGUGUUGUGCUGUACUGUUUUUGCUAACUUUUUUCAUCUGUGUAAUGCUGUCCUCCCGCUUAUGCUGGGGUUCAGACUAAAUGCAGUGGUAAAUGUGCUGCUCACAAUUGACAGCAGCAACAUUGACCUGUUAAAUUGACAAGAAGGCUGUUGAUAGAGUUGCGUUUAGGCAUGUAUUCCUUGUUAUGAGUCUUAAGUGUGUUUCUCAGUCUGCUGGAGUUGACCUAGUAUUUAUAUUAAACCUACCUUACACAUCCA